AGCCGGGCCCUGUAGAACGGAGAAUUGUGAACCCCGUCAGGUCCGGAAGGAAGCAGCGGUAACGAUUUCGACGUUUGCUGCGGGACUACCCGGCUAUC
Molecule: signal recognition particle RNA, 98 nt
Filed under: Deltaproteobacteria bacterium
Lineage: Bacteria; Pseudomonadati; Myxococcota; Myxococcia
Description: signal recognition particle sRNA small type
Rfam family: Bacterial small signal recognition particle RNA
About the family: The signal recognition particle (SRP) is a universally conserved ribonucleoprotein involved in the co-translational targeting of proteins to membranes. Archaeal SRP consists of a 7S RNA and homologues of the eukaryotic SRP19 and SRP54 proteins. In most bacteria, the SRP consists of a 4.5S RNA and the Ffh protein (a homologue of the eukaryotic SRP54 protein).
Source: RNAcentral